AUGGGAGCAGGCUGGGGUGCAAGGUGUUAAGUUGAAUACGGUGAACCAUUCACCGUGUUUGGCAUUCACCGUGUCCAAACACGGUGAAUGGUUCACCGUGUUCAAUAACUUAUAUUACACCGUACUUGGUUGAAAUAAUACACUAAACACGGUGAACCAUUCAUAGUGUUUCGUAGAACUCCACCCCAAGCAUUGCAAAAUUCAGCACAACAACACAACAAAUUCAACAUCAACACAACAACAAAUCAACACAACAACACAACAACAAAUCAACACAACAACACAACAACAAAUCCAACACAACAUCAAUUGAGCAUCAAUACCAUAUAAUCACAACAAAAUAUCAAAAAAUAGAGGAAGUUUUUCAAUAAUAUAAAAAGUUCUGUGCAAUUUAAAAUUUACAAAAAUGUAAUGUUAUGUUCUCCUCCUAGUCCUUUGACCACGUCUACCUACACGUCCCCUACAAC
Molecule: long non-coding RNA, 467 nt
Filed under: Ananas comosus (pineapple)
Lineage: Eukaryota; Viridiplantae; Streptophyta; Magnoliopsida; Poales; Bromeliaceae
Description: long non-coding RNA (ACOM_LNC039953)
Source: RNAcentral